AAUAGGGAGACGGAGGAAGAACGUAAAAUGAGGAAAAAGGCAGAUAUGCUAGCGGUAGCUAUCUUAAGUGAAGAAAGACAGGGAAGUGAAUAGAGGAGACGAGAAUAGGCUGAGCAAGGGACCUUUAAGUAGGAAUUAAUGUGCGUAUUGUAGAAAGGAGGAACAUUGGAAGAGUGAGUGUCCACAGAGAGAGCAGUAUGAAGGUGAUAGACAAGGAGAGAGAAGGGUACGAGGAGGUUAUAGUGGUAGUUAUAGAG
Pelobates cultripes (western spadefoot toad) is the source of this 257-nucleotide non-coding RNA. NCBI's taxonomy places the organism in Eukaryota, Metazoa, Chordata, Amphibia, Anura, Pelobatidae. The record is from the annotation of a GenBank genome assembly.